RNAcentral lists this long non-coding RNA (1285 nucleotides) under Rattus norvegicus (Norway rat). Its description in RNAcentral is "long non-coding RNA NONRATT015909". Lineage: Eukaryota; Metazoa; Chordata; Mammalia; Rodentia; Muridae. The record is from RNAcentral.
GCGGCCGCAGUCUCAGCUCUGGGCAUCUGGGGAACCCAAGCGGCUUCGCCCAGGCAUUCGCGCGGGCGCCCGCGGUCUGGGUCCCACCUCCUCUGCUUUCGCACCCUUGAAGUUUUGGAGCACCAGGAAAAGAGGGCAAGGAAGGAGAGGGGAAGCGAAAGCAUAUCCUAAAACAUUUACUUAAAGGAGGAAAGAAAAGGGGUCGCAGAAAUGGCUGGGGCAAUUAUAGAAAACAUGAGCACCAAGAAGCUCUGCAUUGUUGGAGGGAUUCUUCUGGUUUUCCAAAUCGUUGCCUUUCUGGUGGGAGGCUUGAUCGGUAAGUGUGAGAGCUGCAAACUUUCCCCCUUUCCCUUUCUUCGGCCCUUCCCUCUUUUGCCUCUUGGGCUACUUGUUACAGUAUCGCUGCCUUGCCUCUAUGAUCUAAUUAGUCCGGCUAUUGUGCUUAAGAAAGCAGAGCUCCAUGGGGCUCCAUGGGGCACAAUCCAGUCUAGUGGCAAAGAGAAAAGGAGGGGAAAAGUUUUGGCCUAGUUUCAGUAUCCACUUGAAAGGCAGGAGGGGGUGGGGGUGGAUCUUAAGCAUGGCGACGGAUCGCGAGGAAGUGCUGGGUCGCAAAGUUGAUUGCUCCCCCUGCUUUCCCUCGCUCGCCCCCCUUUCCCUCUCGGUUCCCUUCCAAUCAGCUCCGGGAGGGCAACGUAAUCGACUUUAUUAGGAAUAACAGGAGACUCGGGAGCUAAGCCCAGUGCCAGCCGCGAGCUGUUACUGGCUGUGGCUUGUGUAAAUGCAUUAGGUUGUCUCGGCGAGGGACUGGGGCUGGUUUUAGGGUCUCAACCUUUAAGCCCUUGGCUUCCCUGCCGCCACCCCACCCACUUCUGGCGGGGACUAGUUCAAACUGAGGACUCGAAGUCGGAUGGAGUGGCGUGGCUUGGGAGUCCUGGCCCUCUCAGCACGAACUUGGAGAGGGCGUAGGAGAAAGAUGGUCGGAAAGGUGUUGUUGCUUUUGCCUCUUGUCCCCUCUGCCAUCUCUCCUCCCCCUCUGCUUUGAGCCCCAAGAUCCAGUGAGUCCCAAGCCUGAGGUCCUCCCUGGCGCCAGGAGGACGUUUCCUGCUCCCUCCUGGGCUGCCCUCAGGUGACAGCUCCCAGGCGCCAGGGAGACUUUGUCAGUGCGCACCAACCAAAAAAAAAAAAAAAAAAAGAAAGAAAGAAAGAAAAAGAAAAGGAAGAAAAGGAAGAAAGAAAGAAAGAAAGAAAGAAAGAAAGAAAGAAAGAAAGAAAGAAAGAAAGAAAG